UACGGAGGGUGCGAGCGUUAAUCGGAAUUACUGGGCGUAAAGCGUGCGUAGGCGGCCCGCUAAGUCAGAUGUGAAAGCCCCGGGCUUAACCUGGGAACGGCAUUUGAAACUGGCGGGCUAGAGUCUGAGAGAGGGGAGUGGAAUUCCGGGUGUAGCGGUGAAAUGCGUAGAGAUCCGGAGGAACACCAGUGGCGAAGGCGACUCCCUGGCUUAAGACUGACGCUGAGGUACGAAAGCGUGGGUAGCAAACAGG
RNAcentral lists this ribosomal RNA (253 nucleotides) under uncultured bacterium. RNAcentral describes it as "partial 16S ribosomal RNA". It matches the Rfam family "Bacterial small subunit ribosomal RNA", at positions 524 to 776 of the family's 1533-position model. The record is from RNAcentral.